This 660-nucleotide ribosomal RNA is filed under the name uncultured bacterium. RNAcentral describes it as "bacterial SSU rRNA". It matches the Rfam family "Bacterial small subunit ribosomal RNA", at positions 94 to 788 of the family's 1533-position model. The record is from RNAcentral.
AGUGGCGGACGGGUGAGUAACGCGUGAGAAUCUGCCUUGGGGUCGGGGACAACCACUGGAAACGGUGGCUAAUACCGGAUAAGCCGAUUGGUGAAAGAUUUAUUUCCCGAAGAGGAGCUCGCGUCUGAUUAGCUAGUUGGUGAGGUAAGAGCUCACCAAGGCAGCGAUCAGUAGCUGGUCUGAGAGGACGAUCAGCCACACUGGGACUGAGACACGGCCCAGACUCCUACGGGAGGCAGCAGUGGGGAAUUUUCCGCAAUGGGCGAAAGCCUGACGGAGCAAGACCGCGUGAGGGAGGAAGGCUCUUGGGUUGUAAACCUCUUUUCUCAGGGAAGAAGCUCUGACGGUACCUGAGGAAUCAGCCUCGGCUAACUCCGUGCCAGCAGCCGCGGUAAUACGGAGGAGGCAAGCGUUAUCCGGAAUUAUUGGGCGUAAAGCGUCCGCAGGUGGCGAUUCAAGUCUGCUGUCAAAGCACGGGGCUUAACUCCGUAAAGGCAGUGGAAACUGAAUAGCUAGAGUGCCGUAGGGGUAGAGGGAAUUCCCGGUGUAGCGGUGAAAUGCGUAGAGAUCGGGAAGAACAUCGGUGGCGAAAGCGCUCUACUGGACGACAACUGACACUCAGGGACGAAAGCUAGGGGAGCGAAUGGGAUUAGAUACCCC